GAUGAAGAACGUAUCGAAAUGCGAUAAGUAAUGUGAAUUGCAGAAUUCAGUGAAUCAUCGAAUCUUUGAACGCACAUUGCGCCCCUUGGUAUUCCGAGGGGCAUGCCUGCUCGAGCGUCAUUAUAACCCCUCAAGCUCAGCUUGGUGUUGGGGCCUGCUGCACUGGCAGCCCUUAAAAUCAGUGGCGGCGCCAUCUGGCUCUAAGCGUAGUAAUUCUUCUCGCUAUGGAGUCCUGGUGGAUGCUUGCCAUCAACCCCCAAUUUUUCUAUGGUUGACCUCGGAUCAGGUAGGGAUACCCGCUGAACUUAAGCAUAUCAAUAAGCGGAGGA
RNAcentral lists this unclassified non-coding RNA (329 nucleotides) under soil metagenome. RNAcentral's name for it is "partial contains 5.8S ribosomal RNA, internal transcribed spacer 2, and large subunit ribosomal RNA". The stretch from base 1 to 120 matches the Rfam family "5.8S ribosomal RNA", at positions 35 to 154 of the family's 154-position model. The record is from RNAcentral.